AUUGAACGCUGGCGGCAUGCCUUACACAUGCAAGUCGAACGGUAACGCGGGGCAACCUGGCGACGAGUGGCGAACGGGUGAGUAAAGCAUCGGAACGUGCCCAGUAGUGGGGGAUAGCCCGGCGAAAGCCGGAUUAAUACCGCAUACGACCUAUGGGUGAAAGGGGGGGAUCGCAAGACCUCUCGCUAUUGGAGCGGCCGAUGUCAGAUUAGGUAGUUGGUGGGGUAAAGGCCUACCAAGCCGACGAACUGUAGCUGGUCUGAGAGGACGACCGGCCACCCUGGGACUGAGACACGGCCCAGACUCCUACGGGAGGCAGCAGUGGGGAAUUUUGGACAAUGGGCGCAAGCCUGAUCCAGCCAUGCCGCGUGCGGGAAGAAGGCCUUCGGGUUGUAAACCGCUUUUGUCAGGGAAGAAAUCCUUUGGGUUAAUACCUCGGGGGGAUGACGGUACCUGAAGAAUAAGCACCGGCUAACUACGUGCCAGCAGCCGCCGUAA
This 498-nucleotide ribosomal RNA is filed under the name uncultured bacterium. RNAcentral describes it as "partial 16S ribosomal RNA". It matches the Rfam family "Bacterial small subunit ribosomal RNA", at positions 29 to 523 of the family's 1533-position model. The record is from RNAcentral.